RNAcentral lists this non-coding RNA (23 nucleotides) under Arabidopsis thaliana (thale cress). Lineage: Eukaryota; Viridiplantae; Streptophyta; Magnoliopsida; Brassicales; Brassicaceae. The record is from RNAcentral.
UCAGUUGCCGUCACGUCACUCGA